This 460-nucleotide ribosomal RNA is filed under the name uncultured bacterium. RNAcentral's name for it is "bacterial SSU rRNA". It matches the Rfam family "Bacterial small subunit ribosomal RNA", at positions 339 to 791 of the family's 1533-position model. The record is from RNAcentral.
UUACGGGAGGCAGCAGUGGGGAAUUUUGGACAAUGGGCGCAAGCCUGAUCCAGCAAUGCCGCGUGCAGGAUGAAGGCCUUCGGGUUGUAAACUGCUUUUGUACGGAACGAAACGACUCUUCUUAAUACGAGGGGUUAAUGACGGUACCGUAAGAAUAAGCACCGGCUAACUACGUGCCAGCAGCCGCGGUAAUACGUAGGGUGCGAGCGUUAAUCGGAAUUACUGGGCGUAAAGCGUGCGCAGGCGGUGAUGUAAGACAGAUGUGAAAUCCCCGGGCUCAACCUGGGACCUGCAUUUGUGACUGCAUCGCUAGAGUACGGUAGAGGGGGAUGGAAUUCCGCGUGUAGCAGUGAAAUGCGUAGAUAUGCGGAGGAACACCGAUGGCGAAGGCAAUCCCCUGGACCUGUACUGACGCUCAUGCACGAAAGCGUGGGGAGCAAACAGGAUUAGAUACCCCGGU